RNAcentral lists this non-coding RNA (28 nucleotides) under Bombyx mori (domestic silkworm). Lineage: Eukaryota; Metazoa; Arthropoda; Insecta; Lepidoptera; Bombycidae. The record is from RNAcentral.
UGCAAAAUAUUACGUUUAGUAGUUCGGC